CAAGAAUCCGACUGUCAUGCUUGGAGCUUCAACACUUUAAUUUUCGUGGCUCAAACAGAAAUGGUUCCUUCUUGAAAGUUGUUCAUCUGCUCAAGAACUAGAGGGUGUCCAAAAUUCAGCUCCAUUGGAGAAAAGCAGCAGCUGCAAAAAUUUGAUAGAGAAAAGGAGGCGAAGCUUUGUUGGAUUUCUAGGCUGGGGAAGAUUCCAGUUUUUGUAGCAACUUCAGUACUGGUGAAUUGCUUGUAUUUUUGUCCAUAACUAAAUUUUGGACUUUGAAUUAUUAUUUGAUCUAUUAUAAUAUGUUUGGGAACAUAUAUAAGUGAAUAAAUAAGAAAGAAGAUUUUGGGCCCUUGUGGGUGUAAAACAAAAAAUGUUUAUGUUUACCCAAGUGUUUUUUGUACAAGUUUCAAGGGCAUCUUGGGUUUUGUGAACAAAAUUUGUUUAUUUGGAGCAAGGUUUUGUGUUGAAGCUUUCUAGGUGAAGCGUUGAUGGUGAAGCUUUGUAGAUGAAGCUUUGUAGAUGAAGCUUCCUAGGUGAAGCUUUGAUGGUGAAGCUUGGAUGGUGAAAGUAUGUAGAGGGAGCUUUCUAGGUGAAGCUUUUUUAGGUGAAGCUUUGUAGGUGAAGCUUUUUUUAAGUGAAGCUUUUCGGGUGAAGUUUUUUUUGGGUGAAGCUUUUUAGGUGAAGCUUUGUGGGUGAAGCUUUGGAGGUGAAGCUUGGAUGGUGAAAGUAUGUAGAGGGAGCUUUCUAGGUGAAGCUUUUUUAGGUGAAGCUUUGUAGGUGAAGCUUUUUUAAGUGAAGCUUUUCGGGUGAAGUUUUUUGGGUGAAGCUUUUUAGGUGAAGCUUUGUGGGUGAAGCUUUGGAGGUGAAGCUUGGAUGGUGAAAGUAUGUAGAGGGAGCUUUGUAGGUGAAGCUUUGUAGGUGAAGCUUUUUUAAGUGAAGCUUUUCGGGUGAAGUUUUUUGGGUGAAGCUUUGUGGGUGAAGCUUUUUAGGUGAAGCUUUGUGGGUGAAGCUUUAGAGGUGAAGCUUUGUAGGUGAAGCUUUUUUUUAAGUGAAGCUUUUCGGGUGAAUUUUUGUUUGGGUGAAGCUUUGUGGGUGAAGCUUUUUAGGUGAAGCUUUGUGGGUGAAGCUUUGGAGGUGAAGCUUUU
This 1145-nucleotide long non-coding RNA is filed under the name Malus domestica (apple). RNAcentral describes it as "long non-coding RNA (MDOM_LNC016629)". Lineage: Eukaryota; Viridiplantae; Streptophyta; Magnoliopsida; Rosales; Rosaceae. The record is from RNAcentral.